Long non-coding RNA from Zonotrichia leucophrys gambelii, 370 nucleotides. RefSeq lists it as uncharacterized. The transcript has 3 exons. The record is from RefSeq and is a predicted model, not a curated record. NCBI's taxonomy places the organism in Eukaryota, Metazoa, Chordata, Aves, Passeriformes, Passerellidae.
AUCCCCUCAGGGACCCCCGGGACCCCCUCAGGGAUCCCCGGGAGCCGCCCCGGGCUCGCGCCGGUCCUGCGGGAGGCGCUGGAGAGAGCGGGGGAGGCGCUGGGAGAGGACGGCGGGCUCCGGGAGCUGCUGAGGAGGCGCAGGGACAGCCUGGAGGGUCCCUGGAAGUGGCUCCUGUUCCACCGCCCGGUGCCGCCCCUGAUCCAGAACGGGCCCCAGUGCGGCCUGGUUGCCCUGGCCAUGGCCGGGGCUCUGCUGGGACCCCCCCGGCCCCAAUUGGGUCUGGGGGCUCUGCUGGAGACAGCGCGGGCCCGGGGCUACACCCGGCACGGGGAGAUGUUCUCUGGUCAGCCUGGGGGGGCUGGGGGGG